GUCGUCGUAGUAUAGUGGUGAGUAUCCCCGCUUGUCGCGCGGGAGACUUGGGUUCGAUCCCCGACAAUGGUU
This 72-nucleotide transfer RNA is filed under the name Ipomoea nil (Japanese morning glory). It matches the Rfam family "tRNA". Rfam says of the family: Transfer RNA (tRNA) molecules are approximately 80 nucleotides in length. Lineage: Eukaryota; Viridiplantae; Streptophyta; Magnoliopsida; Solanales; Convolvulaceae. The record is from Rfam by way of RNAcentral.